This 253-nucleotide ribosomal RNA is filed under the name uncultured bacterium. Its description in RNAcentral is "partial 16S ribosomal RNA". It matches the Rfam family "Bacterial small subunit ribosomal RNA", at positions 524 to 776 of the family's 1533-position model. The record is from RNAcentral.
UACGUAGGUGGCGAGCGUUGUCCGGAAUUACUGGGUGUAAAGGGAGCGUAGGCGGGGGAUUAAGUUGGAUGUGAAAUACUCAGGCUCAACCUGGGAGCUGCAUCCAAAACUGGUUCUCUUGAGUGUAGUAGAGGCAGGCGGAAUUCCUAGUGUAGCGGUGAAAUGCGUAGAUAUUAGGAGGAACACCAGUGGCGAAGGCGGCCUGCUGGGCUUUAACUGACGCUGAGGCUCGAAAGCGUGGGGAGCAAACAGG